CAGCAGCCGCGGGAAUACGUAGGGUGCGAGCGUUAAUCGGAAUUACUGGGCGUAAAGCGUGCGCAGGCGGUUGUGUAAGACAGGUGUGAAAUCCCCGGGCUUAACCUGGGAACUGCGCUUGUGACUGCACAGCUAGAGUAUGGCAGAGGGGGGUGGAAUUCCACGUGUAGCAGUGAAAUGCGUAGAGAUGUGGAGGAACACCGAUGGCGAAGGCAGCCCCCUGGGCCAAUACUGACGCUCAUGCACGAAAGCGUGGGGAGCAAACAGGAUUAGAUACCCCGUGUAGUCCCUGUCUCUUAUA
RNAcentral lists this ribosomal RNA (301 nucleotides) under uncultured bacterium. Its description in RNAcentral is "partial 16S ribosomal RNA". It matches the Rfam family "Bacterial small subunit ribosomal RNA", at positions 509 to 808 of the family's 1533-position model. The record is from RNAcentral.